This 292-nucleotide long non-coding RNA is filed under the name Glycine max (soybean). Its description in RNAcentral is "long non-coding RNA (GMAX_LNC003250)". The record is from RNAcentral. Lineage: Eukaryota; Viridiplantae; Streptophyta; Magnoliopsida; Fabales; Fabaceae.
GAAAAACCCUAUCAAGUGUCUACUCAAAAGUUAGUCAUGACCGAUGUCAAUAGAAAAAAUCUAGCCAAUAUUGGCAAAAAAAAAAAUCAUUGGUCAGCAUCAACUGAAAAAAUCUGGAUGACAAUGACAAAAAAAAAUCCUUGGCCAACAUUAGCAAAAAUUCUCCAUAACUGACGUCAAUGAAAAAAUAACCCUAACCAACAUUAUCUAAAAAAAAAUCUUAGUCAAUAUCGGCAAAAAAUAGCUUUGGUUGACAUCAUACAAAAAAAAUUUGACCGAAAAAAGUUGGGCC